UCGAGCGGCACCGACGGGAGCUUGCUCCCGGAUGUUAGCGGCGGACGGGUGAGUAACACGUGGGUAACCUGCCUGUAAGACUGGGAUAACUCCGGGAAACCGGAGCUAAUACCGGAUAGUUCCUUGAACCGCAGGGUUCAAGGAUGAAAGACGGUUUCGGCUGUCACUUACAGAUGGACCCGCGGCGCAUUAGCUAGUUGGUGAGGUAACGGCUCACCAAGGCGACGAUGCGUAGCCGACCUGAGAGGGUGAUCGGCCACACUGGGACUGAGACACGGCCCAGACUCCUACGGGAGGCAGCAGUAGGGAAUCUUCCGCAAUGGACGAAAGUCUGACGGAGCAACGCCUCGUGAGUGAUGAAGGUUUUCGGAUCGUAAAGCUCUGUUGUUAGGGAAGAACAAGUGCAAGAGUAACUGCUUGCACCUUGACGGUACCUAACCAGAAAGCCACGGCUAACUACGUGCCAGCAGCCGCGGUAAUACGUAGGUGGCAAGCGUUGUCCGGAAUUAUUGGGCGUAAAGGGCUCGCAGGCGGUUUCUUAAGUCUGAUGUGAAAGCCCCCGGCUCAACCGGGGAGGGUCAUUGGAAACUGGGAAACUUGAGUGCAGAAGAGGAGAGUGGAAUUCCACGUGUAGCGGUGAAAUGCGUAGAGAUGUGGAGGAACACCAGUGGCGAAGGCGACUGUGUGGACUGUAGCUGACUCUCAGGAUCGCAGCCCUGGGGACGAUCCUGAUCAUAUACCCUGGUAGACAAAGCGUCAUCGAUCACUGGUGAGUUUCACCGGGUGUUCCUCCCCUCUUCAGCUGCAACUGGAAGUACUCUGCGCUCUCCUGCGG
RNAcentral lists this ribosomal RNA (835 nucleotides) under Bacillus xiamenensis. RNAcentral's name for it is "bacterial SSU rRNA". It matches the Rfam family "Bacterial small subunit ribosomal RNA", at positions 62 to 873 of the family's 1533-position model. The record is from RNAcentral. Lineage: Bacteria; Bacillati; Bacillota; Bacilli; Caryophanales; Bacillaceae.